AGAGUUUGAUCCUGGCUCAGAAUCAACGCUGGCGGCAUGCCUAACACAUGCAAGUCGAGCGAGAAAGGGUAGCAAUACCUGAGUAAAGCGGCGCACGGGUGAGUAACACGUGGAUAACCUGCCUCAAAGUGGGGAAUAACACCGGGAAACCGGUGCUAAUACCGCAUAUUCUGACGAGGUCUGCGGAUUUCGUCAGGAAAGGAGCAAUUCGCUAUGAGAGGGGUCCGCGGCUGAUUAGCUAGUUGGUGAGGUAAUGGCUCACCAAGGCAACGAUCAGUAGCCGGUCUGAGAGGACGGUCGGCCACACUGGAACUGAGACACGGUCCAGACUCCUACGGGAGGCAGCAGUGGGGAAUUUUUCGCAAUGGGGGCAACCCUGACGAAGCAAUGCCGCGUGGAUGAUGAAGUCUCUUGGGACGUAAAAUCCUUUCGACGGGGACGAAACCGCAAGGUUGACGUACCCGAGAAGAGCCCCCGAA
Molecule: ribosomal RNA, 479 nt
Filed under: uncultured soil bacterium
Lineage: Bacteria
Description: bacterial SSU rRNA
Rfam family: Bacterial small subunit ribosomal RNA
Source: RNAcentral